Molecule: transfer RNA, 83 nt
Filed under: Methanosphaerula palustris E1-9c
Lineage: Archaea; Methanobacteriati; Methanobacteriota; Methanomicrobia; Methanomicrobiales; Methanoregulaceae
Also listed under: 1 other name
Description: tRNA-Leu (CAA) (tRNA-Leu-CAA-1-1)
Rfam family: tRNA
About the family: Transfer RNA (tRNA) molecules are approximately 80 nucleotides in length. Their secondary structure includes four short double-helical elements and three loops (D, anti-codon, and T loops).
Source: Rfam by way of RNAcentral
GCGGGGAUAACCAAGAGGCCAAAGGUGGGCGCCUCAAGAGCGUCUCUCGCAGGAGUUCAAGGGUUCGAAUCCCUUUCCCCGCA